RNAcentral lists this ribosomal RNA (489 nucleotides) under uncultured bacterium. RNAcentral's name for it is "partial 16S ribosomal RNA". It matches the Rfam family "Bacterial small subunit ribosomal RNA", at positions 28 to 507 of the family's 1533-position model. The record is from RNAcentral.
GACGAACGCUGGCGGCGUGCUUAACACAUGCAAGUCGAACGGUGAAGGGAUCAGCUUGCUGGUUCUGGAUGAGUGGCGAACGGGUGAGUAACACGUGAGUAACCUGCCCCCUUCUUCUGGAUAACCGCAUGAAAGUGUGGCUAAUACGGGAUAUUCUGGGUCUGUCGCAUGAUGGGUCUGGGAAAGAUAUUGUUUCGGUGGGGGAUGGGCUCGCGGCCUAUCAGCUUGUUGGUGGGGUGAUGGCCUACCAAGGCGGUGACGGGUAGCCGGCCUGAGAGGGUGGACGGUCACACUGGGACUGAGACACGGCCCAGACGCCUACGGGAGGCAGCAGUGGGGAAUAUUGCACAAUGGGCGCAAGCCUGAUGCAGCGACGCCGCGUGAGGGAGGGAGGCCUUCGGGUUGUAAACCUCUUUCGCCAGUGAAGCAGGCCUGCUCCUUGUGGGUGGGUUGACGGUAGCUGGAGAAGAAGCGCCGGCUAACUACGUG